Molecule: long non-coding RNA, 705 nt
Organism: Cyprinus carpio (common carp)
Lineage: Eukaryota; Metazoa; Chordata; Actinopteri; Cypriniformes; Cyprinidae
Source: Ensembl
UCCAGCCCAUUUCUACUAGCUUUAAAUCCAUUUAGUGACAGUAUGCUUUUAACAAAUGCAUGUAAAAUUUACACAUUCUCUUCACAGAUCUGAUUUUUUUAUGUGACUCAUAUUGCGCUACACAAAUGUUAUCCAAUCAAAUACCUUCUAGAGCAAGUCCCUCCUCCAAACACCAUCUGAAAGCGACUAACAGCACAGUGUAGCUCUGUGAAGUCUCUCAGUUGGAGAUGUAAGAAUAAUAACAGAUUUACCUUUACAGAAGAUCUGAACCGCUCUGAAUGUGAAGAAGUGUCCUGAGGAGCAGCAGGUGUUGAGAGCAGAAUUACUUCAAUGCGAAACAUAAGGACUGAGGAUUUCAUGCGGAAAGUUACUUACAGAUUAAGGGAUGUGUUUGAACAGAAGCAGAGCUCUGGACGUGUGGACAGACUUUCACUGUAAUGAUGGACAUCCGCUCGUGGACAGAAGUAUAACCCCUUCUGGGCAUUGUGCUGGAGCUCGGGGGGGACCCGAAACGUGCCCAUCCCUUCAUUCACACAACACUCACUCAUAUCGCGGAGAUCUGGCUGGGAUCGAACCAGCAACCUCUGAACCGUGAGGCAGUGCUCUUACCUGUGAGCCACAGAUCUCUUGUCUGAACACGUGAAGGAACUUAUAUUUCACUAUUUACCUGCAUGUGCUUUUACAAUAAACCAGUUAAAGUUAUCA